GACUGGAAUUCCCGGUGUAGCGGUGAAAUGUGUAGAGAUCGGGAGGAACACCGGUGGCGAAGGCGGGUCUCUGGGCAAUUCCUGACGCUGAGGCGCGAAAGCGUGGGGAGCAAACGGGAUUAGAUACCCCGGUAGUCCACGCUGUAAACGAUGACGACUAGGUGUGGGGGGGUUCAGUCCCCUCCGUGCCGCAGCUAACGCAUUAAGUCGUCCGCCUGGGGAGUACGGCCGCAAGGUUGAAACUCAAAGGAAUUGACGGGGGCCCGCACAAGCGGUGGANCAUGUGGUUCAAUUCNAUGCAGAGCGAA
This 308-nucleotide ribosomal RNA is filed under the name uncultured bacterium. Its description in RNAcentral is "bacterial SSU rRNA". It matches the Rfam family "Bacterial small subunit ribosomal RNA", at positions 659 to 965 of the family's 1533-position model. The record is from RNAcentral.